This 253-nucleotide ribosomal RNA is filed under the name uncultured bacterium. RNAcentral describes it as "partial 16S ribosomal RNA". It matches the Rfam family "Bacterial small subunit ribosomal RNA", at positions 524 to 776 of the family's 1533-position model. The record is from RNAcentral.
UACAGAUACUGCAAGCGUUAUUCGGAUUCACUGGGCGUAAAGGGUGCGCAGGCGGCCGUGUGUGUGAGGCGUGAAAGCCCGGGGCUUAACCCCGGAAUUGCACCUCAAACUACAUGGCUAGAGCAUUGGAGAGGGUAGCGGAAUUCACGGUGUAGCAGUGAAAUGCGUAGAUAUCGUGAGGAACACCAGAGGCGAAGGCGGCUACCUGGACAAUUGCUGACGCUCAGGCACGAAAGCGUGGGGAGCAAACAGG